UUCCCUUCAGGGUUUGGAGGCUGCUCUGAACUCCGUUAGGUCUUCUCUCACUAUCUUUUUCCUCAGGGUUUUGUUUCAAGGAAACCUCAGAGUAUUUUGCUUCUCUUCCUUUUUUUUCUUCCUUGUUUCAAUGAAACUCUAGUAUUUAUAGGCUAAUAUUGAUAGCUUAGUGGGCUUUUGAGAGAGGUCCAAGUCUGAGAUUUUUUUCUUUUAUUUACUUAUUU
RNAcentral lists this long non-coding RNA (224 nucleotides) under Lathyrus oleraceus (garden pea). Its description in RNAcentral is "Pisum sativum (pea) long non-coding RNA (PSAT_LNC027396)". Lineage: Eukaryota; Viridiplantae; Streptophyta; Magnoliopsida; Fabales; Fabaceae. The record is from RNAcentral.